Molecule: ribosomal RNA, 433 nt
Filed under: uncultured bacterium
Lineage: Bacteria
Description: partial 16S ribosomal RNA
Rfam family: Bacterial small subunit ribosomal RNA
Source: RNAcentral
AACGAACGCUGGCGGCAGGCCUAACACAUGCAAGUCGAGCGGACCCUUCGGGGUUAGCGGCGGACGGGUGAGUAACGCGUGGGAAUAUGCCCUUCUCUACGGAAUAGUCCUGGGAAACUGGGGGUAAUACCGUAUACGCCCUUUGGGGGAAAGAUUUAUCGGGGAAGGAUUAGCCCGCGUUGGAUUAGGUAGUUGGUGGGGUAAUGGCCUACCAAGCCGACGAUCCAUAGCUGGUUUGAGAGGAUGAUCAGCCACACUGGGACUGAGACACGGCCCAGACUCCUACGGGAGGCAGCAGUGGGGAAUCUUAGACAAUGGGGGCAACCCUGAUCUAGCCAUGCCGCGUGAGUGAUGAAGGCCUUAGGGUUGUAAAGCUCUUUCAGCUGGGAAGAUAAUGACGGAACCAGCAGAAGAAGCCCCGGCUAACUCCGUG